CGGCGCUGCGACUCUCGCGAGAUUGGCCGCCGUGGUGACGUGGCGCGGCCGGAAGUGGUGGCGAGGACGGAAGUGGUGGUGUGGCCAUGCUGCGGCAGGGCAGCAGUGAUGACAUUGAGGAUGUCUCUCUCUUUGAUGCCGAUGAUGAAGUAUCCAGGAGGUCAAAAAAGUCAAAAAUAAGGCAUCCAGUGGCAUCAUUUUUCCACCUGUUCUUCCGAGUCAGUGCGAUAGUUGUCUAUCUGCUCUGUGAGCUCUUAACUAGCAGCUUUAUUGCCUGCAUGGUGACAAUUAUCCUUCUCUUGUCAUGUGACUUUUGGGCCGUAAAGAAUGUCACAGGGCGACUGAUGGUUGGCCUCCGCUGGUGGAAUCAGGUGGAUGAUGAUGGAAGAAGUCACUGGAAAUUUGAAUCUAGAAAGGUAUCACCACAAGGGCAUAAAACCUCCUCAGAAUCAGAGUCCCGAAUUUUCUGGCUAGGUCUGAUUACCUGCCCUAUCAUCUGGGUGAUAUUUGCUUUCAGUGCUCUGUUUUCUUUCAAAGUGAAAUGGCUGGCAGUAGUUAUGAUGGGAGUGGUUCUACAGGGAGCCAACCUUUAUGGAUACAUCAGAUGCAAAGUUGGCAGUAGGAAGAACUUGACAAGCAUGGCAACCAGCUACCUUGGAAAGCAGUUCUUGCGGCAGACUGUGGCUAAAGAGGAACAGACAGCAUCCUGAGCAUGGUAGAAGCCUCAAGCUGGAUUGGAUUCACAGUAGUGAAGCACAGAGAAUGUUGCUCUGACCAUGAGAUUUGGGAGCUGCUUAAAUGAGGCCUGUGUCUGUACGAAGAGCACAACUGGACUAAAAGUAGGUUGCAAGGAAAGCUGUACUCAGUUUCAGAGGUGGAGUGAGUGUGAGAGCAGGUGAUGGGCAGAGCUGUUAAAAUGAUGCCACCUGGUGUGAGCUGGUGCACGGGGCAGCAGGGAACGUCACUGCUGGGGUACCAGGACAGAGGUUGCACAAGCAGAACUUCCUUCCACUCAAUUAUUCACCUCGCAGCGGAUUUGGGGGUAACCAUUAAAACAAGAGCUGAGGCUGAGUUCAGGCUGCUUUCUACUGUUCCAUGACCAAAGGGUGUUUCACAUAAUCUUAACGGAGCUGCCUGAAGACCUGGCAUCAGCAUGCUGACUUUGCAAGAUGUUUGCAUGUCUUGAAUCCAUGCAGCAUACUGUGUUCCCCAAGGAGUCUAUGGGCUAGGGGAAAAAAAAAAAAACAUUUGUAUGAUGGUGAAAUGUUGGCUUGCAGUGUUCACCUCAGUGGCAGAAAUUGUGUGUUCUGUGUGCAAAGCUGUACGAAAGGGCUCAGUUCCUUCUUGUCACGUAGUGCUGCUCAAGGCAGGUUGUGCUUUCACAGCGGGAGAUAUUGUAAACUUCUGAAGAGGUAUUUUAAAUUAAGAAUGUGGUUUCUUUUUGAAUAAUGGGUAUUGUAAAUUGUGGGAUUGCAUUAACAUUGUAUGUCUCCCUGGACCGUAGCAAUACUUGGGAGCUGUACAUUUGUUUAACUCUUUGGAUCGAUACCUUCCUUUUGUAAAUAUAUAUUUAUAAAAUCUUGAGAUUAAAAUAAUGCUUUGUUUAAACCAGA
Non-coding RNA from Meleagris gallopavo (turkey), 1613 nucleotides. The record is from RefSeq and is a predicted model, not a curated record. Lineage: Eukaryota; Metazoa; Chordata; Aves; Galliformes; Phasianidae.